UCAAGUCUUUAUGUGUACAAAUUAUACAAUUA
Molecule: non-coding RNA, 32 nt
Filed under: Mus musculus (house mouse)
Lineage: Eukaryota; Metazoa; Chordata; Mammalia; Rodentia; Muridae
Source: RNAcentral